AGAGAGCACAAGUGAGCCAAGAUGUCUCGCCGACAAUAUCAUGAAAGAGAUCAUAUUCAGCCGGCAAGUCAUCCUUGGCUCAAAAGCACUCU
Molecule: microRNA precursor, 92 nt
Filed under: Cajanus cajan (pigeon pea)
Lineage: Eukaryota; Viridiplantae; Streptophyta; Magnoliopsida; Fabales; Fabaceae
Description: miRNA gene-KK1_016833
Source: RNAcentral